RNAcentral lists this ribosomal RNA (469 nucleotides) under uncultured bacterium. Its description in RNAcentral is "partial 16S ribosomal RNA". It matches the Rfam family "Bacterial small subunit ribosomal RNA", at positions 28 to 507 of the family's 1533-position model. The record is from RNAcentral.
GAUGAACGUUGGCGGCGUGCUUAACACAUGCAAGUCGAACGGUGAACACGGAGCUUGCUCUGUGGGAUCAGUGGCGAACGGGUGAGUAACACGUGAGCAACCUGCCCCUGACUCUGGGAUAAGCGCUGGAAACGGCGUCUAAUACUGGAUAUGUGACGUGACCGCAUGGUCUGCGUUUGGAAAGUUUUUUCGGUUGGGGAUGGGCUCGCGGCCUAUCAGCUUGUUGGUGAGGUAAUGGCUCACCAAGGCGUCGACGGGUAGCCGGCCUGAGAGGGUGACCGGCCACACUGGGAUUGAGACACGGCCCAGACUCCUACGGGAGGCAGCAGUGGGGAAUAUUGCACAAUGGGCGGAAGCCUGAUGCAGCAACGCCGCGUGAGGGAUGACGGCCUUCGGGUUGUAAACCUUUUUUAGCAGGGAAGAAGCGAAAGUGACGGUACCUGCAGAAAAAGCGCCGGCUAACUACGUG